Molecule: ribosomal RNA, 1774 nt
Filed under: Cicer arietinum (chickpea)
Lineage: Eukaryota; Viridiplantae; Streptophyta; Magnoliopsida; Fabales; Fabaceae
Description: SSU rRNA
Rfam family: Eukaryotic small subunit ribosomal RNA
Source: RNAcentral
CAUGGUUGAUCAUGCUAGUAGUCAUAUGCUUGUCUCAAACAUUAAGCCAUGAAUGUGUAAGUAUGAACUAAUUCAGACUGUGAAACUGCGAAUGACUCAUUAAAUCAAUUAUAGUUUGUUUGAUGGUAUCUACUACUUUGAUAAUCGUAGUAAUUCUAGAGCUAAUACGUGUAACAAACCCCGACUUCUGGAAGGGAUGCAUUUAUUAGAUAAAAUAUCGACGUAAGCUCUUCUUGUUGCUUUGAUGAUUCAUGAUAACUCGUCGGAUUGCACGACCCUUGUGUUGGCGACGCAUCAUUCAAAUUUAUGCCCUAUCAACUUUUGAUGGUAGGAUAGUGGCCUACCAUGGUGGUGAUGGGUGACAAAGAAUUAAGGUUCAAUUCCGGAGAGGGAGUCUGAGAAAUGGCUACAACAUCCAAGGAAUGCAACAGGUGCACAAAUUACCCAAUCCUAACACGGGGAGGUAGUGACAAUAAAUAACAAUAUCGGGUUCAUUGAGUCUGGUAAUUGGAAUGAGUACAAUCUAAAUCCCUUACCGAGGAUCCAUUGGAGGGAAAGUCUGGUGCCAGCAGUCGCGGUAAUUCCAGCUCCAAUAGCUUAUAUUUAAGUUGUUACAGUUAAAAAGCUUGUAGUUGGACCUUGGGUUUGGUCGACCGGUCUGCCUCUGGUGUGCACCGGUUGGCUCCUCCUUUCUGUCGGCGGUGCGCUCUUGGCCUUAAUUGGUCGGGGUCGUGCCUCCAGCGCUAUUACUUUGAAGAAAUUAGAGUGCUCAAAGUAAGCCUACGCUCUGGAUACAUUAGCAUGGGAUAACACCACAUGAUUUUGAUCCUAUUGUGUUGGCCUUCGGGAUCGGAGUAAUGAUUAACAGGGAUAGUCGGAGGCAUUCGUAUUUCAUAGUCAGAGGUGAAAUUCUUGGAUUUAUGAAAGACGGACAACUGCAAAUCAUUUGCCAAUAAUGUUUUCAUUAAUCAAGAGCAAAAGUUGGGGGCUCGAAGACGAUUAGAUACCGUCCCCUAGUCUCAACCAUAAACGAUGUCGAUCAGGGAUUAGUGGAUGUUGCUUUUAGGACUCCGCUGGCACGUUAUGAGAAAUCAAAGUCUUUGGGCUCCGAGGGGAGUAUGGUCGCAAGGCUGAAACUUAAAGGAAUUGAUGGAAGGGCACCAUCAAGAGUAAACCAUGCGGCUUAAUUUGACUCAACACGGGGAAACUUACCAGGUCUCGACAUAGGAAAGAUUGACAGACUGAGAGCUCUUUCUUGAUUCUAUGGGUGGUGGUGCAUGGCCAUUAUAUAGAUGUCCUGGUUAAUUCCAUUAACGAAUGAGACCUCAUCCUACUAAAUAGCGAUGUGGAGGUAACCCUCCAUGAUAAGCUUCAUAGAGGGACUAUGGUCGUUUAGGCCUCAGAAGUUUCAGGAAAUAACAGGUAUGUGAUGCCCUUAGAUGUUCUAGGCCACACGCGCGCUACAUUGAUGUAUUCAAUGAGUCUAUAGCCUAGGCUGACAGGCUCGGGUAAUCUUUGAAAUUUCAUCGUGAUGGGAAUAGAUCAUUGCAAUUGUUGGUCUUCAACGAGGAAUUCCUAGUUAGCGCGAGUCAUCAGCUCGUGUUGAUUAUGUCCCUACCCGUCGCUCCUACCGAUUGAAUGGUCCGAUGAAGUGUUUGAAUUGUGAUGACGUGGGCAGUUCGCUGCCCGCGACUUUGUGAGAAGUCUAUUGAACCUUAUCAUUUAGAGGAAGGAGAAGUCGUAACAAGGUUUUCUGUAGGUGAACCUGCGCAAG